GACGAACGCUGGCGGCGUGCUUAACACAUGCAAGUCGAACGGAAAAGCGCGUCCUUGGACUCGUGGAUGAGUGGCGAACGGGUGAGUAACACGUGAGUAACCUGCCCAUCACUCUGGGAUAAGCACUGGAAACGGUGUCUAAUACUGGAUACGACCACCCGCUGCAUGGGGUGGUGGGGGAAAGUUCUGGCGGUGGUGGAUGGACUCGCGGCUUAUCGCUUUGUUGGCGGGGUAGUGGCGUACCAGGGCUUCGACGGGUAGCCGGCCUGAGAGGGUGACCGGCCACAUUGGGACUGCGAUACGGCCCAGACUCCUACGGGAGGCAGCAGUGGGGAAUAUUGCACAAUGGGCGGAAGCCUGAUGCAGCGACGCCGCGUGCGGGAUGACGGCCUUCGGGUUGUAAACCUCUUUCGCCAGUGAAGAAGCGAAAGUGACGGUAACUGCUGAAGAAGCACCGGCUAACUACGUG
This 469-nucleotide ribosomal RNA is filed under the name uncultured bacterium. Its description in RNAcentral is "partial 16S ribosomal RNA". It matches the Rfam family "Bacterial small subunit ribosomal RNA", at positions 28 to 507 of the family's 1533-position model. The record is from RNAcentral.